Molecule: non-coding RNA, 997 nt
Organism: Peromyscus maniculatus bairdii (prairie deer mouse)
Lineage: Eukaryota; Metazoa; Chordata; Mammalia; Rodentia; Cricetidae
Source: RefSeq, a predicted model, not a curated record
AGUUGCUUUUAGUGGCAAAAAACCAUUUUGUGUUUUAUUGAGUAACUAUGGCCAAAAUGUUCUCAACCCAUUACAAACUUUAUAAAGAGAUGUAGCCCUGCUCUGAAAGCAUCUCUUCUUCCUGGUCCCCAGUGUAGGUGAGCCUGUAAAAAUGACUUCUAUGAACAGAACAUUCUGGAUUACAGAAUCAUGGAGCAGAAAUAAAUGAUCUGAUUUAUGACAAUUAGCAUGGGAAGAGGAAACAGAGAUGAUCACUGGGAGUCAGCAAGAAUGAAUUAUUCCACUAAUUCCCUUUCUUCCCAGAUUUUCUUGAAUUUGAAUCCCAGCUUUUAGACCAAGUCCCAGCACUUCUGAAGACCUGAAAGAAUUUUGAAAACCUUUGCCUCUGCCUGAUUGCUUCACGGGGAUCUAUAGCGUGUCUUCCUAGGAAAAUUGAGAAUUUUAAUGCAGCAUUAAAAAACAAAACAAACAAACAAAAUACUGUCUAAUUAGCUGAGUUUCAACUUUCUUGUAAUUUUCCCCUACCACACAUCUUUGAAGAAUAGAAAAAUACAGCAGAAAAAGAUGUUGUUGGCAGCAGAGAUCCUGCUGGAAGCCUGUCAUGCUCCAGCUCACUGAACAGCUGGACUGAUGUGGAAUGUGCUGCUCGCUCACCUUCACCUGAUUUCACUUUAAGAUUCUGUGCAGCUCGAGCAUGGAGGACCAAGAGUUUCUCAUCCUGGAGCUCCACAUCUGGUCUAAUGGGAGCAGGAGAAACUAGGCAGAGAGUGGAGACAGGAUUUCAAGGAUUUCCUGGGAUUGUAGGGGAUCCUUAGAAUCCGUUAGAGGAGAAAGUUAGAAAGGGUUGGACUAUUUCGUUAACACCGCGUGUCUUUGCUCAGCCACUUCUUUCUUAAGCCUAUCCUGUGCAAAGUCACAGAAGCAUAGGAGGAGACAGAGGCCAGAUGCAGCACCGUGACCUGUCACCGAAGAAGAAAGCACAAGGAGCAGAUGAAAC